GAUGAACGCUAGCGGGAGGCCUAACACAUGCAAGCCGAGCGGUAUUUGUCCUUCGGGACAGAGAGAGCGGCGUACGGGUGCGGAACACGUGUGCAACCUGCCUUUAUCUGGGGGAUAGCCUUUCGAAAGGAAGAUUAAUACCCCAUAAUAUAUCGAAUGGCAUCAUUCGAUAUUGAAAACUCCGGUGGAUAGAGAUGGGCACGCGCAAGAUUAGAUAGUUGGUGAGGUAACGGCUCACCAAGUCAGUGAUCUUUAGGGGGCCUGAGAGGGUGAUCCCCCACACUGGUACUGAGACACGGACCAGACUCCUACGGGAGGCAGCAGUGAGGAAUAUUGGACAAUGGGUGAGAGCCUGAUCCAGCCAUCCCGCGUGAAGGACUAAGGCCCUAUGGGUUGUAAACUUCUUUUAUACUGGGAUAAACCUACUUACGUGUAAGUAGCUGAAGGUACAGUAUGAAUAAGCACCGGCUAACUCCGU
This 478-nucleotide ribosomal RNA is filed under the name uncultured bacterium. Its description in RNAcentral is "partial 16S ribosomal RNA". It matches the Rfam family "Bacterial small subunit ribosomal RNA", at positions 28 to 506 of the family's 1533-position model. The record is from RNAcentral.